This is a long non-coding RNA of Gasterosteus aculeatus aculeatus (three-spined stickleback), 496 nucleotides long. The record is from Ensembl. Lineage: Eukaryota; Metazoa; Chordata; Actinopteri; Perciformes; Gasterosteidae.
GGGAGCAGCGAGCAGCAUGGCAGUCUCUGGCAAAGCGUUGACCACAAGAACCAGCAAGGCCAAAACAAAGCGCUGAAUGGCGGGCGCUGACUUCAGCGUGUCUGCCCCCUCUGAUCCACACAAGGUUGCACUGUGUGUGUUCGGCCUCCGAGAACGAAAGGGGCGGCCACGGCGCACAAUCACCACUAAGCACAUACUUUGCUGCCCCACAAUCCCCCACCAGGCCAGACACAAACCCAGGGGCUGUAUGUUUAUCAAAGCGCCUCAGGAUGCUGCCAUGGAGACAGUGCUCUUAUAUCUGUGGGGCUUCCACCUACUGUAUACCGCCAGAACAACCACACACGCGUUCACACAAACUGCAAAGACGUGGGGCUGUCAAAUAUGCCAGUGGAAGCAGCAAAGCACCGCCAAAGACUGACAGAUGGAUCCACCAAGAUGGGGAGGCAUGUCUCUCCAUCUUCCAUAUGUCCUGGCACUGCUGGAGGAUUAUGGUCAC